GUGUCAGCAGCCGCGGUAAGACGAACCGUGCGAACGUUGUUCGGAAUCACUGGGCUUAAAGGGCGCGUAGGCGGCGACUCAAGUCCGGGGUGAAAGCCCCCGGCUCAACCGGGGAAGUGCCUUGGAUACUGGGUCGCUCGAGGGAGGUAGGGGUCGAGGGAACUUCUGGUGGAGCGGUGAAAUGCGUUGAUAUCAGAAGGAACGCCGGUGGCGAAAGCGCUCGACUGGACCUCUGCUGACGCUGAGGCGCGAAAGCCAGGGGAGCAAACGGGAUUAGAUACCCCGGUAGUCC
RNAcentral lists this ribosomal RNA (292 nucleotides) under uncultured bacterium. RNAcentral's name for it is "partial 16S ribosomal RNA". It matches the Rfam family "Bacterial small subunit ribosomal RNA", at positions 505 to 796 of the family's 1533-position model. The record is from RNAcentral.